CCACCUGCGGCGUGCCUAACACAUGCAGUCGAGCGAAGUAUAUUUAAGUGAAGUUUUCGGACGGAAUUUAAAUAUAUCUUAGCGGCGGACGGGUGAGUAACGCGUGAGCAACCUGCCUUUCACAAAGGGAUAGCCUCGGGAAACUGGGAUUAAUACCAUAUGAUACUUAACUUUCGCAUGAAAGAUAAGUUAAAGCGAAUAAGCGGUGAGAGAUGGGCUCGCGUCCUAUUAGCUAGUUGGUGAGGUAACGGCUCACCAAGGCGACGAUAGGUAGCCGGCCUGAGAGGGUGAACGGCCACACUGGAACUGAGACACGGUCCAGACUCCUACGGGAGGCAGCAGUGGGGGAUAUUGCACAAUGGAGGAAACUCUGAUGCAGCCGACGCCGCGUGAGUGAAGAAGGCCUUCGGGUCGUAAAAGCUCCUGUUCCCUAGGGGGAAAGAUAAUUGACCGGUACCCCUAGGGAGGGAAAGCCCCCGGGCUUAACUUACGUUUGCCCAACCAGGCCCCGCGGGUUAAUUACCUUAAGGGGGGGCCCAAACCCGUUUUGUC
RNAcentral lists this ribosomal RNA (552 nucleotides) under uncultured bacterium. Its description in RNAcentral is "bacterial SSU rRNA". It matches the Rfam family "Bacterial small subunit ribosomal RNA", at positions 39 to 536 of the family's 1533-position model. The record is from RNAcentral.